This 425-nucleotide ribosomal RNA is filed under the name uncultured bacterium. Its description in RNAcentral is "bacterial SSU rRNA". It matches the Rfam family "Bacterial small subunit ribosomal RNA", at positions 356 to 773 of the family's 1533-position model. The record is from RNAcentral.
GGGGAAUAUUGCACAAUGGGGGAAACCCUGAUGCAGCAAUGCCGCGUGUGUGAAGAAGGCCUUCGGGUUGUAAAGCACUUUUGUCCGGAAAGAAAUCCUUGGCUCUAAUACAGUCGGGGGACGACGGUACCGGAAGAAUAAGCACCGGCUAACUACGUGCCAGCAGCCGCGGUAAUACGUGGGGUGCGAGCGUUAAUCGGAAUUACUGGGCGUAAAGCGUGCGCAGGCGGUUUGCUAAGACCGAUGUGAAAUCCCCGGGCUCAACCUGGGAACUGCAUUGGUGACUGGCAGGCUAGAGUAUGGCAGAGGGGGGUAGAAUUCCACGUGUAGCAGUGAAAUGCGUAGAGAUGUGGAGGAAUACCGAUGGCGAAGGCAGCCCCCUGGGCCAAUACUGACGCUCAGGCACGAAAGCGUGGGGAGCAAAC